UUGGCUUAGAAGCAGCCACUCAUUCAAAGAGUGCGUAAUAGCUCACUGGUCGAGUGAUCCUGCGCCGAAGAUUUCCGGGGCUAAAACUUACUACCGAAGCUACGGCAUCAGUAAUGAUGGGUAGGGGAGCUUCCCAUACGGGUUGAAGCAUGACCGUAAGGACAUGUGGACAGUAUGGGAGUGAGAAUGUUGGCAUGAGUAGCGAGAUGUGGGUGAGAAUCCCACAGGCCGUAAACCCAAGGUUUCCAGGGGAAGGUUCGUCCGCCCUGGGUUAGUCGGGACCUAAGCUGAGGCCGAAAGGCGUAGGUGAUGGACAACAGGUUGAUAUUCCUGUACUACCGAU
RNAcentral lists this ribosomal RNA (343 nucleotides) under Clostridioides difficile. Its description in RNAcentral is "partial 23S ribosomal RNA". It matches the Rfam family "Bacterial large subunit ribosomal RNA", at positions 1101 to 1451 of the family's 2925-position model. Lineage: Bacteria; Bacillati; Bacillota; Clostridia; Peptostreptococcales; Peptostreptococcaceae. The record is from RNAcentral.